UUACUUUUAACGUCUAACUACUCAGUAAACAGAUGGACUGUGUAAGCCUGCCGUCUAUCCUUUCUCUGUUCCGAAAGCAGCAGCCUUUUUCUUCUCUCCAUACUUCCCUUUUUCUUUUAUUCAUUUAUUUUCUUUAAUUUAUUUAUGGGUGAUUUGGAUUUGGUAUAUUUCGAAAUUCGAAUAUUAUAGUAUUUGAGAUAAUAAUAAACUAUUACGAGUUUGAUAUUUGUUGAUAUUAUUUAUUGUUAUAGCAGGUAUGUGGUUGGAUUGGAUGUCUGCAGUGGAAGAUGCUCAUAUCUCAGGUUAUGCUGCUAAUUAAGAGUGAGAUGUAUUUUUUUGGAAACCUACAUCUCUUUAAUGGGUUGUCAUUAAUUUGGAUGGUUCUGUUAAUUCGGAGACGGGUCAAACAACUGUUGGAGGCUUGAUUCGAGAUUCAGCUAGCCAUGUGCUUUUGGCUUUCAGUUUGAGCUUGGGUGUAUUCUAUUAUUCGAAUAGAGUUGAGGGUUGUUGUUACAGGCUUUAAUAUUGCUUGGGAGAGAAGAUAUUGGAGAGUACAACUCCAGCUCGACUCCCGUUGGGCAUUGUAGUUGUACGCCAGGUGUCAGGGGUGAUUCACCAGCACUCUCCUGUCGUAAAUCAAAUUUAGGAGUUGAUGAAAAUCAGGGUGUGAGAGCAUGAGUUUAUUCAUAUUUGCAGCGAAAGCAAUUAUGCUGCAGACUACCUUGCUAGCAUGUAUUGGGCAAGAGAUGUCGUUUACUGUUUAUUUUUUUCUAUUUUAGAUCCUAUUUUGAUUUUAUGAUGUACUUGGUGUUUCAAAAAAUAAAUUGAUUAUGAAUGAAGGUUACCAUCGUGCA
RNAcentral lists this long non-coding RNA (854 nucleotides) under Linum usitatissimum (flax). RNAcentral describes it as "long non-coding RNA (LUSI_LNC006879)". Lineage: Eukaryota; Viridiplantae; Streptophyta; Magnoliopsida; Malpighiales; Linaceae. The record is from RNAcentral.